GACGGGGGGGGCAAGUGUUCUUCGGAAUGACUGGGCGUAAAGGGCACGUAGGCGGUGAAUCGGGUUGAAAGUGAAAGUCGCCAAAAAGUGGCGGAAUGCUCUCGAAACCAAUUCACUUGAGUGAGACAGAGGAGAGUGGAAUUUCGUGUGUAGGGGUGAAAUCCGUAAAUAUACGAAGGAACGCCAAAAGCGAAGGACAGCUCUCUGGGUUCCUAGCCGACGCUGGGGUGCGAAAGCAUGGGGAGCGAACAGG
Molecule: ribosomal RNA, 253 nt
Filed under: uncultured bacterium
Lineage: Bacteria
Description: partial 16S ribosomal RNA
Rfam family: Bacterial small subunit ribosomal RNA
Source: RNAcentral